CUGAGACUGGGUAAUUUAUAAAGAAAAGUGGUUUAUUUGGCUUACGGUUCUACAGGCUGUAUGAGAAGCAUGGCACCAGCAUCUGCUGCUGGUGAGGCCUCAGGAAGCUUACAAUCAUGGUGGAAGGCAAAGCGGACCUAGUGUGUCACAUGGCAAGAGAGGGACCAAGCAAGAGAGAGAGAGAGGAGGUGCCAGGCUCUUUUAAACAACCAGAGAGAGAGAGAGAGGGAGAGAGAGAGAAAAAGAGAGAGGAGGUGCCAGGCUCUUUUAAACAACCAGAUCUCACGUGAACUCAGAGUGAGAGCUCACUCACUACCAUAAGGACAGUACCAAGCCAUUCAUGAGGCAUCUGCUCCCAUGACCCAAACAUCUCCCAUUAGGCCCACCUCCAACAUUGGAGGUCACUUUUUUUUUUUUUUUUUUUGAGAUGUAGUUUCGCUCGUUGCCCAGGCUGGAGUGCAAUGGCACAAUCUUGGCUCACUGCGACCUCUACCUCCCAGGUUCAAGUAGUUCUCCUGCCUCAGCCUCCCAAGUAGCUGGGAUUACAGGCAUGUGCCACCACGCCUGGCUCACUUUUUGUAUUUUUAGUAGAGAUGGGGUUUCACCAUGUUGGCCAGGCUGGUCUCGAACUCCUGACCUCAGGUGAUCCACCCACCUUGGUCUCCCAAAACGCUGGGAUUGCAGGUGUGAGCCAUCACGCCCGGCCUGAGGUCACAUUUUAACACGAGAUUUGGAAGGGACAAAGCAUCCCAACCGGCUGGGCGCAGUGGCUCACACCUGUAAUCCCAGCACUUUGGGAGGCCGAGGCAGGCAGAUCACAAGGUCAGGAGAUCGAGACCAUCCUGGCUAACACACUGAAACCCCGUCUCUACUAAAAACACAAAAAAUUAGCCAGGCGCAGUGGCGGGUGCCUGUAGUCCCAGCUACUCAGGAGGCUGAGGCAGAAGAAUGGUGUGAACCCGGGAGGCGGAGUUUGCAGUGAGCCGAGAUCGCGCCACUGCACUCCAGCCUGGGCGAUAGAGCGAGACUCCGUCUCAAAAAAAAAAAAAAAAAAAACCAUCCAAACCAUCUGAUCAUCCUUGCGCAGGGGCCAUGCUAAUCUCUGUAUGUUCCAAUUUUAGUAUAUGCACUGCGGGAAGAGAGUACUCACUUUUUAUUUUGAUACAAUUUCAAACUUACAGAAAAGUUGAAUGUACAAGGAAUUUCCAAAUACCUUUUCCCCAGAUUCACUGACGUUACCACAUUAUGUGCAUGUGCUUGCUCUCUCUCCCUCUGCUUUUUCUCUCUGCAUAUAAACGCAUUUCCUAAGAAUAAACACAUAACCAACCAAAGAAUAGAGUUUCUAUUAUUUGUACUAUUUUCACAAAUAAAAAGACUGAGGAAAGGUGUGCUCUUUUCCUGUGAUCCUGGGCCACAAUUUCACCAGGUUCAGGAUGCAAGGCCCUUUUCUGUAUUCUUCGGACCUCUGUCAUCUGAAAACACCGGCAAACCACCACUCCAGUGAUGCUGCCAUGUGUUAAGCUUCCCCUUAAGACCCCUGGCAGAGAGUAGCAUAUUGUGCACCAAGGUUGUGUGGGAAAAGGGGCUGAGAUGAAGCCACCCCUGCAGAGCGGCAGCUUCUAGUGUACGUGUGGGUCCACAGAGGUUUCUGUGACCCUGGAAGCCUGUCCAGCUGAGCUGACCUUCACCAGGGAAGAGAAUCUCCAGACAAAGGCACUUAGCUGCCUACUGGGUCCCCACCGAAAGACUGCUGAAAAUAUUUCUUCAGAAUGCUGAGCGCUGAAUACCACUCAGCACGUGCUGGAGCCAGAGGUGGUUAGACACGAGUCUGUCCUUGGAAAUCCCAGGCUCAGAGCCACCAUUAUGCAAAGAGGACUGUUGAGGGGUUUUCUUUUACUUUUCUUUUCUUCUCUUUUUUUUAAUAGUUUUUUGAGAAAUGGGAUCUGUGCUAAGGGCUUUGGGCAGGCCAGCUAGGAGGACGGAAGAAGUUUCCCAUUCGCUUGUGGACAAGGCCUGCACCCAUAUAAUCAACUCCAACCCACCUCCGUCAUCACCAGGGUAACAUCCCUGCCCAAUCUCUCCUCAGGCCUUCUGCAUUACCAGACCUGGUGUCUUCCCCUCCCUGGAUUUGAGGGCCCUGGACUCUUUGCAGCCUCUACCUCAUGCCCAACCAGGACAAGCCUUGAGCACAGGCAAAACAGAUUCCACAGUCUGCAUCCCAUGGCAAAGAAUUUCAUG
Molecule: long non-coding RNA, 2238 nt
Filed under: Homo sapiens (human)
Lineage: Eukaryota; Metazoa; Chordata; Mammalia; Primates; Hominidae
Description: non-protein coding lnc-CCDC32-3:1
Source: RNAcentral